RNAcentral lists this ribosomal RNA (356 nucleotides) under uncultured bacterium. Its description in RNAcentral is "partial 16S ribosomal RNA". It matches the Rfam family "Bacterial small subunit ribosomal RNA", at positions 338 to 686 of the family's 1533-position model. The record is from RNAcentral.
CCUACGGGAGGCAGCAGUGGGGAAUAUUGCGCAAUGGACGAAAGCCUGACGCAGCGACGCCGCGUGAGGGAUGACGGUCUUCGGAUCGUAAACCUCUGUCAGCAGGGAAGAACAGUCACUGUGCUAAUCAGCAGUGAAUUGACGGUACCUGCAAGGGAAGCACCGGCUAACUCCGUGCCAGCAGCCGCGGUAAUACGGAGGGUGCGAGCGUUAAUCGGAAGUACUGGGCGUAAAGCGCUCGUAGGAGGUAGGUCAAGUCAGGGGUGAAAUCCCCGCGCUCAACGUGGGAACUGCCUUUGAAACUGGCAAACUGGAGAGUUGGAGAGGUGAGUGGAAUUCAAGGUGUAGGAGUGAAA